UUAAAAAGCUCGUAGUUGGAUUUCGGAGUGGGCCAGUUGGUCCGCCGCAAGGUGUGUUACUGACUGGUUUGCUCUUCUUCGCAAAGACUGCGUGUGCUCUUCAGUGAGUGUGCGUAGGAUUUACGACGUUUACUUUGAAAAAAUUAGAGUGUUCAAAGCAGGCUAUUGCUUGAAUACAUGAGCAUGGAAUAAUGGAAUAGGACUUUGGUCCCAUUUUGUUGGUUUCUAGGGCCGAAGUAAUGAUUAAGAGGGACAAUUGGGGGCAUCCGUAUUUCGUUGUCAGGGGUGAAAUUCUUGGAUUUACGAAAGACGAACAACUGCGAAAGCACUUGCCAAGAGUGUUUUCAUUAAUCAAGAACGAAAGUUAGAGGAUCGAAGACGAUCAGAUACCGUCCUAGUUCUAACCAUAAACGAUGUCGACUAGGGAUCAGCGGGCGUUAUCGUACGACCCCGUUGGCACCUUACGGGAAACCAAAGUUUCUGGAUUCCGGGGGAAGUAUGGUUGCAAAGCUGAGACUUAAAGGAAUUGACGGAAGGGCACCACCAGGAGUGGAGCCUGUGGCUCAAUUUGACUCAACACGGGAAAACUUUCC
Molecule: ribosomal RNA, 593 nt
Filed under: uncultured eukaryote
Lineage: Eukaryota
Description: SSU rRNA
Rfam family: Eukaryotic small subunit ribosomal RNA
Source: RNAcentral